RNAcentral lists this ribosomal RNA (788 nucleotides) under Inocybe sp. 3 RT-2012. Its description in RNAcentral is "eukaryotic LSU rRNA". The stretch from base 271 to 424 matches the Rfam family "5.8S ribosomal RNA". Lineage: Eukaryota; Fungi; Basidiomycota; Agaricomycetes; Agaricales; Inocybaceae. The record is from RNAcentral.
UUUAGAGGAAGUAAAAGUCGUAACAAGGUUUCCGUAGGUGAACCUGCGGAAGGAUCAUUAUCGAAAAUACAGGGCUGUUGCUGGUCCUCAGGACAUGUGCACGCCUGUUGUUUUUAUUUUUCCAACUGUGCACUUGUUGUAGACCUGGAGUCUUUUUAUUGUUGGAAUAGAUUUAGGACUGCCAUGUGGCUUUGCCUUGCAUUUCCAGGUCUAUGUUGUAAUAUUUUUCACACAAAUGAAUGUUGAGUACUGGGGAACAUGAAAUAAUACAACUUUCAGCAACGGAUCUCUUGGCUCUCGCAUCGAUGAAGAACGCAGCGAAAUGCGAUAAGUAAUGUGAAUUGCAGAAUUCAGUGAAUCAUCGAAUCUUUGAACGCAUCUUGCGCUCCUUGGUAUUCUGAGGAGCAUGCCUGUUUGAGUGUCAUGAGAAGUUCUCAACCACACCGGUUUUCUUCGUCGGUGUAGCUUGGAUUUGAGGGUUUUUGCAGGCUUUGAACAGAAGCCGGCUCCCUUGAAAAGGAUGAGUGGUAUAUCUGCUCACCAUGGGUGUGAUAAUUGUGUCUAUGCCUUGGUGUAUGCAGGAGCCAACAGAGUAGUUUUUUUUGACGAAUUUGACCUCAAAUCAGGUAGGACUACCCGCUGAACUUAAGCAUAUCAAUAAGCGGAGGAAAAGAAACUAACGAGGAUUCCCCUAGUAACUGCGAGUGAAGCGGGAAAAGCUCAAAUUUGAAAUCUGGCAGCUUUUAGCCGUCCGAGUUGUAAUCUAGAGAAGUGCUACCUGUGCUGGA